Molecule: unclassified non-coding RNA, 240 nt
Filed under: soil metagenome
Description: partial contains 5.8S ribosomal RNA, internal transcribed spacer 2, and large subunit ribosomal RNA
Source: RNAcentral
AACGCACGAGACCUGCGGACCUGCGGAAGGAUCAUUACAUGGCGGAGGAGGUGGGCACCUAGUAAAAACAAAACCCUAGGUGUGUUGCCUACCACGCUUUCUACCCUUGUCUAUUUGCACCUUUUGUCGUUCCCUCGGUGGGUCUUGAACCUGCCGGCGGCAACUUUCAAAAACCUUUUGUAGUUAGUAUCUAAUUCUUCUGAUCAAAUAUUCAAUCGUUACAACUUUCAACAACGGAUC